Long non-coding RNA from Coturnix japonica (Japanese quail), 1448 nucleotides. The record is from Ensembl. NCBI's taxonomy places the organism in Eukaryota, Metazoa, Chordata, Aves, Galliformes, Phasianidae.
AAUGGGUUCUCUAUGGGGUCCCCUAUGGGGUCCCCAAAUUUGUUGUCCUAUGGGUUCUCUGUUGUCUCUACGGGACUCUAUGGGUCCCUAUGGGUCCCUAUGGGUCUCUAUGGGUCCCUAUGGGUCCCUAUGGGUCCCUAUGGGUCUCUAUGGGUCUCUAUGGGUCUCUAUGGGCCCCUACGGGUCUCUAUGGGUCCCUAUGGGUCUCUAUGGGUCUCUAUGUGUCCCUAUGGGUCUCUAUGGGUCUCUAUGGGUCCCUAUGGGUCCCUAUGGGUCUCUAAGGGUCCCUAUGGGUCUCUAUGUGUCUCUAUGGGUCCAUAUAGGUCCCUAAGUGUCCCUAUGGGUCUCUAUGGGUCUCUAUGUGUCUCUACGGGUCUCUAUGGGUCUCUAUGGGUCCCUAUGUAUCCCUAUGGGGUCUCUAUGGGUUAUAUGGGGGUGGGCAUCAAUAAGGGUGGCUAAUAGGGGGGUAAUAUGGGGGGGGCAUCAAUAAGGGGGUGCCCAAUAAUGGUCUCUAUGGGUCUCAGUGUAUCGCUAUGGGUCCCUAUGGGUCGCUAUGUGUCUCUAUGGGUCUCUAUGGGUCUCUAUGGGUCACUACGGGUCACUAUGGAGCAGCUAUGGGGCUCUAUAGGUCUCUAUGGGGCAGUUAUAGGUCAUUAUGGGUCUCUAUGUGUCCCUACGUGUCCCUAUGGGUCGCUAUGGGUCCCUAUGUGUUUCUAUGGGUCUCUAUGUGUCUGUAUGGGUCCCUAUGGGUCCCUAUGGGUCUCUAUGAGUCUCUAUGGGUCUCUAUGUGUCUGUAUGGGUCCCUAUGGGUCCCUAUGGGUCUCUAUGGGUCCCUAUGGGUCUCUAUUGGUCCCUAUGGGUCUCUAUUGGUCCUUAUGUGUCUCUGUGGGUCUCUAUGGGUCCCUAUGGGUCUGUAUGGGUCUCUAUGGGUCUCUAUGGGGUCCCUAUGGGCCUCUAUGGGUCUCUAUGUGUCCCUAUGGGUCACUAUGGGUCCAUAUGGAUCUCUAUGGGUCUCUAUGGGUCUCUAUGUGUCCCUAUGGGUCCCUAUGGGUCCCUAUGGGUCUCUAUGUGUCCCUAUGGGUCCCUAUGGGUCUCUAUGGGUCCCUAUGGGUCUCUAUGGGUCCCUAUGGGUCACUAUGGUUCCGUAUGGAGGUCCUUAUGGGUCCCUAUGGGUCUCCUAUGGUCUCUAUGUGUCCCUAUGGUCCGGCUAUGGGUCUUCUAAUGGGUUAUAUGGGGGGGGGCAUACAAUAGGGGGUAAUAGGGGGUUAAUAUGGGCCCUGGGGGGGGGGGCAUCAAUAUAGGGGGGGUCCAUUAAAUAUGGGGGGUAAUAGGGGGUUAUAUGGGGGGGGGGCAUCAAAUAUGGGGGGUAAUAGGGGUUAUAUAUGGGGAGGGGGGGAGCAUCAAUAUGGGGAAGGCAUCAAUAUGGGGGUGACCACAAUAAUGGUCUC